Molecule: long non-coding RNA, 3106 nt
Organism: Oryctolagus cuniculus (rabbit)
Lineage: Eukaryota; Metazoa; Chordata; Mammalia; Lagomorpha; Leporidae
Source: Ensembl
AUGAAUCAGAGAGGGUUUAUGUUGCAGAAUCUCUCAUUUCCAGCGCCGGAGAAGGACUGUUUUCGAAAGUGGCAGUGGGCCCCAAUACCGCCAUGUCUUUUUAUAAUGGAGUCUGAAUUACACACCAAGAGGUUGACAGCAGGGACUGGGCCCUUAAUGGGAACACCCUCUCCCUCGAUGAAGAAACGGUCAUUGAUGUGCCUGAGCCCUAUAACCACGUAUCCAAGUUCUGUGCCUCCUUGGGACACAAGGAGAAUCACUCCUUCACUCCAAACUGCGUCUAUGAUAUGUGAGUAUGACGCCAGUGCUGGGGUGGCUCUGGGGCCACAGGGCCCUGAGGGGUGGGGGGUGUGGAAAAGAUGUCUCCUGCCCCAUCAGAACCACUGAGUGUCCUCCGCCUCAUGCCACAGGGUGCUGAUUCGAAGCUCAGAACCCAAACAGCCCCAUUUCGCAGCCUUGGCAAGCUAAGAAAUGCAAAGGGCUUCAAAGGGGAGAAAUGCUAUGGAAAUUCCAUACUGAGUGGCUGCUGUCUUUUUGGCUGCCUUCUUUGUCCAUCAACUUUCUCAUUCUGGAAAAUUAAGCAUAGUGUUGUUGGGAAUAAUGGUAAAGCUCAAAGUUAUUCUGCUCCUGGAGACAAUUACAGAACUCUUUCAUGAUGUGGAAGCAGGGAGGAAAAUCAAACCUAAGCCCAGGGCAUGAGGUCUCAGUGUUGGAAGAGACUGGUCAAAUCCGAGUCCCUAUAGUUGGUAACAAAACAGAAUGGCACAUGCCGCAGUAUAGAUGAGACCUGAAAACAUAACACAUGGCAAAAGGAUCCAGCUGCAGAGCGGCACUUGUUGUGUGACGCUGUUUACAGGAAAUGUCCACAAUAGGACAUCUGAAGAGAGUGUAGAUCGUGCUUUCCUAGCACUGGAAGGGGGGCGAUGAGAGGUGUCUGUUGAUGGGUAGAGGAUUUCACUUUGUGGGGAUUAGACUUUGUAAGAUUAGAUCAUGGGGAUGGUGGCACAACUGUUGAAUAUUUAAGCACCAUACUCUUGUCCAUUUCACAAAGGUGAAUGUAUGAUGUGUGACUUAUGUCUUAAGGUGGUCGUUAAAAAUAUUAAUAAUCUGACUCCUACCCUCUGUUGGAGUUUGAGCCUUCUCUUCCAUCUGCUCAUUGAAUCUCUGCUUGGAAACCUCCACAGGUUAGGGGGGAUUGUUAUUAUCUGCAGAGGCAGCUGUCCCAGCAAAUGAAACAGAUAUGAAAUUAGCUUUGGCUCAGAGGACUAGGAAGUUCUUUAUAGUAAGCCCAAAUGACAUCCAGCCCUCAACACUGAUUGUGUCCCUUUCUCUCCUGUCCCCUGUGUCAACCUGUCUUCUACAAGGUAGCCCUCCAAGUAGUUGAGUAGUUUUCAUGUGCUCCCUGGAUGUUCUCAUUCCAAAGCCAAGCAUCUCUGGCUGUUCUCAAAAGCAUACAGCUGGGACUUUGUACCAUCGCCAUCUUUCUCCUUAGCUUAGCCGGAGGAUGCCAAUAAUGCCUGGGAGCUGAUGAGCUGUGUGCAACCCUCUCUGUGCAGCUAUAGCUUGCGGCCCUCAGUCAUCCCACUUGUUAGCAUAGGCAAGAGCAGAUCGUGUGCACUUCAUCUGGAGGAAAAUUGCCAGGAUUUGGAGGUUCCUCAAGAAUGUUCCUUCUCGCGUCUCUGAGAUGGCUGAAAAAAUCAUCUGGCAGCGCCUUGCUCUGCUUGGCAGCCAGUAACGAGCACUGGAGCUGCAUCUUCUGUUUAAAGGGCAAAGGACAUGUGUCAUGUGGAGUGAAACUGACACGGUUACUAACCCCAAGGCACCCAUGGCCAAUGUGGAUAAGGCCAGAGCAUCAUUCCAAGCUGUGCUCAGCUUAACAGCAACCUUUUUAAAGCAAUAGUAACUAAACAGCAUUAUUGCUGCUUAAGCUGCUCCGGCCCGUCCUGUGAUUUCAUUGCAAGGACACGAUCUUUCUCACCAAAAGAAAAAGACCAUGGGACCCAAGAGAAGGUCUCAUUAUGCAAAAUUACAUAUCUGUACUCAGGAGGUCUUGAUUUUGUUGCUUUCUUUGUUUGCAAGUUCAGUGUGACCAAAUAUUAGUCAUCUGAGAUCAUGGAAAGACUACAUGAUCAACAGCCAAAUACCAAUUCAUGACAUUCACUUCUGAAAUCAUUGGCAUUGUUAUAUGUGCUUUAACCUAAAGCAAUACUCUGUAAGCUGUUUUAUGAGGCUACUUCAAAAUGUUCACAGGAUUAAAAGAUAAGCUUGUUUUGUGCAAACAAUUUUGAAAUCUAUGUGUAGUUUUUUUCCUAAUAUAUAUUUUUUAAAUUUUUUUAAAAGAUUUAUUUAUUUUUUUUUUGACAGGCAGAGUGGACAGUGAGAGAGAGAGACAGAGAGAAAGGUCUUCCUUUGCCGUUGGUUCACCCUCCAAUGGCCGCCGCGGCCGGCGCGCUGCGGACGGCGCACCGCGCUGAUCCGAUGGCAGGAGCCAGGAGCCAGGUGCUUUUCCUGGUCUCCCAUGGGGUGCAGGGCCCAAGCACCUGGGCCAUCCUCCACUGCACUCCCUGGCCACAGCAGAGGGCUGGCUUGGAAGAGGGACAACCGGGACAGAAUUCAGCACCCCGACCGGGACUAGAACCCGGUGUGCCGGCGCCGCUAGGCGGAGGAUUAGCCUAGUGAGCCGCGGCGCCGGCCUAAAAGAUUUAUUUUAUUUAUUUGAAAGACAGGGUUAUGAGAGAGGUAGAGACAGAGAGAGAGAGGUCUUCCAUCCGCUGGUUCACUCUCCAUGUGGCCACAACAGCCAGAGCUGAGCUCAUCUGAAGCCAGGAGCUUCCGCCAUAUCUCCCACAUAGGUGCCAGGGAGAUUGGGCCAUCUUCUACUGCUUUGCCAGGCACAUUAGCAGGGAGCUGGAUUGGGAGUGGAGCAGCCGGGACUCAAACUGGCACCCAUAUGGGAUGCCGGCACUGCAGGCUGGAGCUUUAACCUGCUAUGCCACAGCACCGGCCCCUAAUAUACAUUUUCUAUGCGUUCUUCCAGACCACUUCAUAUUCAUGAGUUUCAAAAUAUUUUGCACCAAAAUAAACAUAUCUUCAAUUCUAUUUUCCA